RNAcentral lists this long non-coding RNA (70 nucleotides) under Microtus ochrogaster (prairie vole). RNAcentral describes it as "H19 conserved region 2 (ENSMOCG00000004936.1)". It matches the Rfam family "H19 conserved region 2". Lineage: Eukaryota; Metazoa; Chordata; Mammalia; Rodentia; Cricetidae. The record is from RNAcentral.
CAGCUCCCCUUUAUCCGACCAGCCGCCACGUCCUGUAACCAAAAAUGACCGGGAUGAAUGUCUGGCUCCC